This 302-nucleotide long non-coding RNA is filed under the name Phascolarctos cinereus (koala). RNAcentral describes it as "lncRNA (ENSPCIG00000026398.2)". The record is from RNAcentral. Lineage: Eukaryota; Metazoa; Chordata; Mammalia; Diprotodontia; Phascolarctidae.
AAUUUUGUUUUCAGCUGAAGGCGAUCAACACCUGGCUAGCCGUUCUCCCGGCAUCGGGAUUUGUCAGCAGCAGUUUUACGGAGACAUUGGAUGCUUCUGACAAAGCCUCAUUGAUUCCUCUUACAUGGUAAAUCUUCACAGCAGAAUCAAAACUAUCAAUUCCAGGAAAAGAAAAUAUUCUGAAAGAAUGAAGUUUGUCUGCUGCUGGGAAACUGAUGGACAUCUUAAAAUCUCCUCACCCUUCCUGCCAAUCCAAUCCCGGUUGUUGCUUCCAAACAGAAUAAAAUAGAGUAUGACAGGAA